This 532-nucleotide ribosomal RNA is filed under the name uncultured bacterium. Its description in RNAcentral is "partial 16S ribosomal RNA". It matches the Rfam family "Bacterial small subunit ribosomal RNA", at positions 355 to 873 of the family's 1533-position model. The record is from RNAcentral.
UGGGGAAUAUUGCACAAUGGGCGCAAGCCUGAUGCAGCCAUGCCGCGUGUGUGAAGAAGGCCUUCGGGUUGUAAAGCACUUUCAGCGAGGAGGAAGGUGGUGAACUUAAUACGUUCAUCAAUUGACGUUACUCGCAGAAGAAGCACCGGCUAACUCCGUGCCAGCAGCCGCGGUAAUACGGAGGGUGCAAGCGUUAAUCGGAAUUACUGGGCGUAAAGCGCACGCAGGCGGUUUGUUAAGUCAGAUGUGAAAUCCCCGGGCUCAACCUGGGAACUGCAUUUGAAACUGGCAAGCUAGAGUCUCGUAGAGGGGGGUAGAAUUCCAGGUGUAGCGGUGAAAUGCGUAGAGAUCUGGAGGAAUACCGGUGGCGAAGGCGGCCCCCCUGGACGAAGACUGACGCUCAGGUGCGAAAAGCGUGGGGAGCAAAACAGGAUUAGAUACCCUGGUAGGUCCACGCUGUAAAACGAUGUCGAUUUGGAGGUUGUGCCCCUUGAGGCGUGGCUUCCGGAGCUAACGCGUUAAAUCGACCGCC